UACAGAGGUCUCAAGCGUUGUUCGGAUUCAUUGGGCGUAAAGGGUGCGUAGGCGGCCAGGCAAGUCAGGUGUGAAAUCCCGGAGCUCAACUCCGGAACUGCACUUGAUACUGCCCUGCUAGAGUACUGGAGAGGAGACUGGAAUUUACGGUGUAGCAGUGAAAUGCGUAGAUAUCGUAAGGAAGACCAGUGGCGAAGGCGAGUCUCUGGACAGUUACUGACGCUGAGGCACGAAGGCCAGGGGAGCAAACGGG
This 253-nucleotide ribosomal RNA is filed under the name uncultured bacterium. RNAcentral's name for it is "partial 16S ribosomal RNA". It matches the Rfam family "Bacterial small subunit ribosomal RNA", at positions 524 to 776 of the family's 1533-position model. The record is from RNAcentral.